UGUAGGAGCCGGCUUGCUGGCGAUGGCCGCGCCGCGGUGUCACUGAUCAACCGCGUCUCGGCCAUCGCCAGCAAGCCGGCUCCUACA
This 87-nucleotide unclassified non-coding RNA is filed under the name Pseudomonas migulae. The record is from RNAcentral. Lineage: Bacteria; Pseudomonadati; Pseudomonadota; Gammaproteobacteria; Pseudomonadales; Pseudomonadaceae.